AAAAACUUAGGAUAAAUAAACCAAAAGCCUUCAAAGCUUGAAAUAAGGGUGCAAUCCCCCUAGUUUUU
Molecule: transfer RNA, 68 nt
Filed under: Anolis cybotes (large-headed anole)
Lineage: Eukaryota; Metazoa; Chordata; Lepidosauria; Squamata; Anolidae
Description: tRNA-Trp
Rfam family: tRNA
About the family: Transfer RNA (tRNA) molecules are approximately 80 nucleotides in length.
Source: RNAcentral